UUGGAAACGUAAUUUGCAAUUAUUAUCUAGAUUCAUGAAUUAUAAUUAUACAUGCAUUUGUCCAUUAAUGUACUAGAGGAGGAGAAACGUAUCUAUUCAAUGUUGGUUCAUGAGUUAGGCUAGAUAAAUGUUAAAUCUUAUCUAUAAAUACCCAUGUAACUCAAGCCAUUAAAAGUAUCGAAGUCACAAAAAUUUACAAUAUAAUAUCUUCUCUUCUACAGUCAUAAAAAAGUGCAGCAGCACUAUAUUACGUAUAAUUUCGAGCAUUCGAUAUUCCUUCUUUUUCAUUCGGUUUUUAAUCAAUCCCCA
Molecule: long non-coding RNA, 309 nt
Filed under: Olea europaea (common olive)
Lineage: Eukaryota; Viridiplantae; Streptophyta; Magnoliopsida; Lamiales; Oleaceae
Description: long non-coding RNA (OEUR_LNC013160)
Source: RNAcentral